Molecule: ribosomal RNA, 253 nt
Filed under: uncultured bacterium
Lineage: Bacteria
Description: partial 16S ribosomal RNA
Rfam family: Bacterial small subunit ribosomal RNA
Source: RNAcentral
ACGGAGGGUGCAAGCGUUAUCCGGAUUCACUGGGUUUAAAGGGUGCGUAGGCGGACAGGUAAGUCAGUGGUGAAAUCUCCGAGCUUAACUCGGAAACUGCCGUUGAUACUAUUUGUCUUGAAUAUUGUGGAGGUAAGCGGAAUAUGUCAUGUAGCGGUGAAAUGCUUAGAUAUGACAUAGAACACCAAUUGCGAAGGCAGCUUACUACACAAUGAUUGACGCUGAGGCACGAAAGCGUGGGGAUCAAACAGGA